This 1491-nucleotide ribosomal RNA is filed under the name metagenome. Its description in RNAcentral is "bacterial SSU rRNA". It matches the Rfam family "Bacterial small subunit ribosomal RNA". The record is from RNAcentral.
AGAGUUUGAUCCUGGCUCAGAUUGAACGCUGGCGGCAUGCCUUACACAUGCAAGUCGAACGGCAGCACGGGUGCUUGCACCUGGUGGCGAGUGGCGAACGGGUGAGUAAUAUAUCGGAACGUACCCUAGAGUGGGGGAUAACGUAGCGAAAGUUACGCUAAUACCGCAUACGAUCUACGGAUGAAAGUGGGGGAUCGCAAGACCUCAUGCUCAUGGAGCGGCCGAUAUCUGAUUAGCUAGUUGGUGGGGUAAAAGCCUACCAAGGCGACGAUCAGUAGCUGGUCUGAGAGGACGACCAGCCACACUGGAACUGAGACACGGUCCAGACUCCUACGGGAGGCAGCAGUGGGGAAUUUUGGACAAUGGGGGCAACCCUGAUCCAGCGAUGCCGCGUGAGUGAAGAAGGCCUUCGGGUUGUAAAGCUCUUUUGUCAGGGAAGAAACGGGAUUUUCUAAUACAAAGUCCUGAUGACGGUACCUGAAGAAUAAGCACCGGCUAACUACGUGCCAGCAGCCGCGGUAAUACGUAGGGUGCAAGCGUUAAUCGGAAUUACUGGGCGUAAAGCGUGCGCAGGCGGUUGUGCAAGACAGAUGUGAAAUCCCCGGGCUCAACCUGGGAAUUGCAUUUGUGACUGCACGGCUAGAGUGUGUCAGAGGGGGGUAGAAUUCCACGUGUAGCAGUGAAAUGCGUAGAGAUGUGGAGGAAUACCGAUGGCGAAGGCAGCCCCCUGGGAUAACACUGACGCUCAUGCACGAAAGCGUGGGGAGCAAACAGGAUUAGAUACCCUGGUAGUCCACGCCCUAAACGAUGUCUACUAGUUGUCGGGUCUUAAUUGACUUGGUAACGCAGCUAACGCGUGAAGUAGACCGCCUGGGGAGUACGGUCGCAAGAUUAAAGCUCAAAGGAAUUGACGGGGACCCGCACAAGCGGUGGAUGAUGUGGAUUAAUUCGAUGCAACGCGAAAAACCUUACCUACCCUUGACAUGUACGGAACUUACCAGAGAUGGUUUGGUGCUCGAAAGAGAACCGUAACACAGGUGCUGCAUGGCUGUCGUCAGCUCGUGUCGUGAGAUGUUGGGUUAAGUCCCGCAACGAGCGCAACCCUUGUCAUUAGUUGCUACGAAAGGGCACUCUAAUGAGACUGCCGGUGACAAACCGGAGGAAGGUGGGGAUGACGUCAAGUCCUCAUGGCCCUUAUGGGUAGGGCUUCACACGUCAUACAAUGGUACAUACAGAGGGCUGCCAACCCGCGAGGGGGAGCUAAUCCCAGAAAGUGUAUCGUAGUCCGGAUUGUAGUCUGCAACUCGACUACAUGAAGUUGGAAUCGCUAGUAAUCGCGGAUCAGCAUGUCGCGGUGAAUACGUUCCCGGGUCUUGUACACACCGCCCGUCACACCAUGGGAGCGGGCUUCACCAGAAGUAGGUAGCCUAACCGCAAGGAGGGCGCUUACCACGGUGGGAUUCGUGACUGGGGUGAAGUCGUAACAAGGUA